This 579-nucleotide ribosomal RNA is filed under the name uncultured bacterium. RNAcentral's name for it is "partial 16S ribosomal RNA". It matches the Rfam family "Bacterial small subunit ribosomal RNA", at positions 355 to 932 of the family's 1533-position model. The record is from RNAcentral.
UGGGGAAUUUUGGACAAUGGGCGAAAGCCUGAUCCAGCAAUGCCGCGUGUGUGAAGAAGGCCUUCGGGUUGUAAAGCACUUUUGUCCGGAAAGAAAUCCUUGGCUCUAAUACAGUCGGGGGAUGACGGUACCGGAAGAAUAAGCACCGGCUAACUACGUGCCAGCAGCCGCGGUAAUACGUAGGGUGCAAGCGUUAAUCGGAAUUACUGGGCGUAAAGCGUGCGCAGGCGGUUUGCUAAGACCGAUGUGAAAUCCCCGGGCUCAACCUGGGAACUGCAUUGGUGACUGGCAGGCUAGAGUAUGGCAGAGGGGGGUAGAAUUCCACGUGUAGCAGUGAAAUGCGUAGAGAUGUGGAGGAAUACCGAUGGCGAAGGCAGCCCCCUGGGCCAAUACUGACGCUCAUGCACGAAAGCGUGGGGAGCAAACAGGAUUAGAUACCCCGGUAGUCCACGCCCUAAACGAUGUCAACUAGUUGUUGGGGAUUCAUUUCCUUAGUAACGUAGCUAACGCGUGAAGUUGACCGCCUGGGGAGUACGGUCGCAAGAUUAAAACUCAAAUGAAUUGACGGGGUCAUAGCUG